GAUGAAGAACGUAGCGAAAUGCGAUAAGUAAUGUGAAUUGCAGAAUUCAGUGAAUCAUCGAAUCUUUGAACGCACAUUGCGCCCGCCAGUAUUCUGGCGGGCAUGCCUGUCUGAGCGUCAUUUCAACCCUCAUGCCCCUAGGGCGUGGUGUUGGGGAUCGGCCAAAGCCCGCGAGGGACGGCCGGCCCCUAAAUCUAGUGGCGGACCCGUCGUGGCCUCCUCUGCGAAGUAGUGAUAUUCCGCAUCGGAGAGCGAUGAGCCCCUGCCGUUAAACCCCCAACUUUCCAAGGUUGACCUCAGAUCAGGUAGGAAUACCCGCUGAACUUAAGCAUAUAAUAAGCGGAGGA
Molecule: unclassified non-coding RNA, 347 nt
Filed under: soil metagenome
Description: partial contains 5.8S ribosomal RNA, internal transcribed spacer 2, and large subunit ribosomal RNA
Rfam family: 5.8S ribosomal RNA (bases 1-120)
Source: RNAcentral